This is a long non-coding RNA of Bos taurus (domestic cattle), 1123 nucleotides long. NCBI's taxonomy places the organism in Eukaryota, Metazoa, Chordata, Mammalia, Artiodactyla, Bovidae. The record is from Ensembl.
GUAAGUGGUUCUGUAAGAGUGUAGCCAGGGGCGGAACAAAGACCUGACAAAGGACAACAAGAAGAAAAAAACAGAAAAAACCGUGCCUGGCUGCUGAUCAAGUUCUCUGAUGGUCUCUGUCUCUUUGAUAAUGAAAUCUGGACAUCCAGACACAUAAGAGAGAGAGAAAGCUGGUCUAUGCACGCACAUACAUCAUGCAGACUGUUCAAAGAGCCUGCAACCCCGAGUGUUGCGAGGGAUGCUUGACUUCAUAGGAAUGGCUCUCUGGUAGCAAGACACAACACUUGUGUUCUGACAACGUAGAAACAGAGCCUUGGGAGAGAUCCUGUUAGCUCGAUUUUUCCACACCAGGAAUCCGAGGCACAGGGAAAUCUCAGCCUCAUCAGCCAAAUCCACAAGCACCUGACUCUGUUCAUCGGGAUAUGGUGUUAAAGCACUGCAGGGGAAGAGCUCUGCUAAGAAAAGUCUCCGUGAAAAAUGUGUGUUUGGGAAUUUUUGGCAGAUGGGGAAAGGCUACUUCAGUGGUCAUAGAUUUAUGAAGUGAUUUGAGUAUAGCCCAGGCUUUAGGAUUAAAGAACUGAAAAGAAUUAAAGUGGUGAGGUUCCCCGCUUCAGACAGGUUUAUCCAGAAAACAAAUCAAAUACAGAGUUCUUGGGAGUGUUGACUUAACAACUUUAUGUGAGUCCCUGGGUGCAUCUGCAAAGGAAAGGGACCUCCCUGCAUAUCAAGAAGCCAUGGAGAAGGCAUCUGGCUGACUGAAGUGACUAUAACCUGAUAGCCAGUUGAGCUGUGAAAGCCAACAGCAGGGAUUUCUAGGCUGAAGUCUUAGUUCAGGUUUAGUCUGUAUGGAGCCAAGAUCCUCGAGUGAAUUCUUCCUCCUGGAAACUUGUCCCUACCCCCAUUUUCUACAUCAGUGGAGACUGGGUGACUUCCAUUUCCCAAUGAUGCACUGAGUUCAUAUGUUUAUAUUUCAGUUCAGUUCAGUUCAGUCGCUCAGUUGUGUCCAAUCUUUGCGACCCCAUGGACUGCAGCACACCAGGCUUCCCUGUCCUUCACCAUCUCCAGGAGCUUGCUCAAACUCAUAUUUAUCCAGUCGGUGAUGCCAUCCAACCAUCUCAUCCUC